UACAGAGGUCCCAAGCGUUGUUCGGAUUCAUUGGGCGUAAAGGGUGUGUAGGUGGCGCCGUAAGUCGGGUGUGAAAUCCCGGGGCUCAACCCCGGAACUGCAUUGGAUACUGCCUUGCUAGAGUACUGGAGAGGGAACUGGAAUUUACGGUGUAGCAGUGAAAUGCGUAGAGAUCGUAAGGAAGGCCGGUGGCGAAGGCGAGUUCCUGGACAGUUACUGACGCUGAGGCACGAAGGCCAGGGGAGCAAACGGG
Molecule: ribosomal RNA, 253 nt
Filed under: uncultured bacterium
Lineage: Bacteria
Description: partial 16S ribosomal RNA
Rfam family: Bacterial small subunit ribosomal RNA
Source: RNAcentral